UCCUCAAUAGCUCAGUUCUGUAGAGUGAUCGGCUGUUAACUGAUUGGUCGUAGGUUCGAAUCCUACUUGGGGAG
Molecule: transfer RNA, 74 nt
Filed under: Triticum dicoccoides
Lineage: Eukaryota; Viridiplantae; Streptophyta; Magnoliopsida; Poales; Poaceae
Description: tRNA tRNA-Asn
Rfam family: tRNA
About the family: Transfer RNA (tRNA) molecules are approximately 80 nucleotides in length. Their secondary structure includes four short double-helical elements and three loops (D, anti-codon, and T loops). Further hydrogen bonds mediate the characteristic L-shaped molecular structure. tRNAs have two regions of fundamental functional importance: the anti-codon, which is responsible for specific mRNA codon recognition, and the 3' end, to which the tRNAs corresponding amino acid is attached (by aminoacyl-tRNA synthetases). tRNAs cope with the degeneracy of the genetic code in two manners: having more than one tRNA (with a specific anti-codon) for a particular amino acid; and 'wobble' base-pairing, i.e. permitting non-standard base-pairing at the 3rd anti-codon position.
Source: RNAcentral